UGGAGAAGGAUGAACAUUGGAGCAAGAACAAGCAUGGAGUUGAUGGCAUGCGCAAGGGGAACAAGAACGGAGUUACAAGUGAUGAUUUCAGGACUUUGAAGCCACCAUAAGGAGUGAAUGAAGCCUUGGACGAAAUAUACAAGAUGCCACUUCAUAAAUUUCGUCCAGAGGCUAUUCUAGGUGCUGCGUCACCUUAUUAUUGGGCCAGGCCCAUGUAAUUUCGAAAUACUUGAGUAUAGGCUGUUUUUAGAGUCCGUAUGUGUGGGGAAACAAGAGAUAGGGUUGGUUUCGGACCCCUUCCCCAAGGGCCACGAAAUUCCCCUUCUCUUCCUCCAUAUAUACAGCCCUUAGGGCACAGUUUAGACUUUGGAUUUGUUUAGAUUAAAAGUUCGCCAUAGCUGCAACUUCGCGUACUUCGUUUGUGUUCAACGACCAGACAAAGGCGUCACAGAACCCCACCUUGAUCAAUAAAGCUUUCCUCUUAUAUUCGCAAUAUCCAGAUUGCAAUCUUAGUUUCUUGCUUGUUCUUCGUUUGCCUGCAGGAAACAGACCUUCGUGGUCAGGUUCAUCGUGCUCCGGCGUGGUCAAUAACCUCUCGGAGUUGGUUUAGUGAUUGCUAAGGCGCGACGUCCUCGCACGUUCGUAGUCGGAUCGUCAAAGUCGGCUUCCUCCAAAACGAUAGCCACCAUCUCAUCGAAAGACGGGACACCUUUGCCUCUAUCAAGUGGUAUCAGAUUUCCAGGUUGCUCGGUGAGAUUUUACAGUUUUUCGUAGUUUAGAUCGAGUCUGUUCUUCAUACCUAUAGUCCACGAAAAAGCCAAAAAAAAUUUAGGGUUAGUUCAUCCUAUCCGAACCAAUCUGAGCCUUUGCAUAAUCUUUUAUGUGUUUGCUUUGUUGAAUUUGCGGUUGCAUCGUCGUGUCAAGUUGCUGGUCUUAGCGUCUAGUCCUUUAGAGUUUCGAGUUCUGUUCACAGGUUGUCACGUCGCCGCUGCCAUAUAUCACCACCGCAUCAUCAUCAUCGCUGCUGCCAUAUACCACCACCGUCAUCGCCGCUGCCAUAUACCACCACCAAAUAUUCGCCGCCAAUCCGAGUCCAUAUACGCCACCACAUAUCUGCCGCCAUCACGCCAAUCCGAGUACACCUGCAACAUAUAUCCGCCACCAGUCCGAGUUCCACCAGAUUCAUCUCCACCACCAGUCUGAGUUCCACCUGAUUCAUCUCCGCCACCAGUCCUAGUCCAAGUCCAGUAUUUUGUUACUCUGUUUUGGAUUUCCAGAUCACGCCAUACUCCGAGUCGUGACAGAGAAGGACUCCCAAACUUCUGUGUUACCCGCAGUAGAAAAAUAGUUCCAGUUUAAAAAAAAAACUAAGUCCGGAAAAUUCUGGCUAGGCAGUUUUUAGACCAUUUGUAGACUUUUUCGAAAAAAAUUGUUGCGGAGCAAAAAAAAGAGCAAAAAAGUGAAAAAAAAGAGAAAAAAAUUCAGAGUGUGCUCCUCCCUUGUUUACGUGCAGCGCCGCGAUUUUGUUAGUGUUCUAGGCUCGCGUCUCUAGCACGGUCUAGCCUAGGACCAGCACAGUACCGUCGUUGAGCGUUUAUUCAACUUUGCAUAUCUGAAUUGAUUAUUGCUGACCCUUUUUGCUACUAUAUUAUAAGCCUUCCCAGCUCCACAUACAUCUACGUCGUGCGUUUGACUCUCCCUGGUAAUCGCUCUAUCCAAGCUUUGAGAGUUUUGACUACAACGGUUGCCGAUCACCACCUGCUGCUGGGUAAGAACUGGUAAGAAUUUGAGAUUCGCUUGACGGAUUUGUGACACACCACCAUCACCACCACUUCCUAGUAGUCUGCAGGAUCAUAUUCUUUUGUGUUUCUAUUGCUACUAACCAUGGCAGGAUCACAAGCCGAUGAGACUGAUUGGGAGAACAUGACGAACAAGGAGUUGCAUGAUAAAUUUCAGCAAAUGAUGAGUGGCCAGGUGGGAGAUGUGCUAAACAGAUUUGAAGAGGCUAUGGAGAGGAUAGAUGCCAUGGAGAAGUCGUUCGAGACAAAGCUGGAUAACAAGUUUAAUGAAUUGCUCAAGCGUCUUCCCCAACCAAGACCGGCUGCACCUGUCGCACCUCUACAACAACAACAACCACAUCUCCAACGUCGCCUUCCAAAUCAAGUGGGACGAGCACAGCGCGUUCCAAUUGAGACUGGUCAAAAUUCGGGUGCCGCUACACCUACUGUUGAUGCUUCUUUGGCUCCUGCUAUUGCGGCGGCUGAGGAGGAUGACGAUUAUGCGGGCGAUUAUGAGGAUGAGGUUGAUCAAAAUCAGAUCUACGUGCAGCCACCAGCACCAUCACCAGCACCUCAGGUAUAUAUUCGCAACGGUAGGCCUGCACCAUCACCUCAGGUACGAGAUCAUGACCAUGUUCCUAAACUGAAAUUGAAUAUUCCACCGUUUGAGGGUAGAUACAUUCCUGAUCUAUAUCUUACUUGGGAGUUAAAACUGAACAACGUUUUACAUGUUUACAAUAUCCCGAGGAGAGAGGGGUUGCUGCUGCUGUUUCUGCUUUCACUAGUUUUGCAUGUGUAUGGUGGUCUGAACAUUGUAGAUUAUAUCCUAUUCCAGCUACUUGGGCUGCUUUGAAAACUGCUAUGCGUACUCGUUGGGUUCCACCAUAUUAUCAACGUGAAUUGCUUCAAAAACUGCAGCGUUUACGACAAGGGAAAAAUUCUGUAGAAGAAUAUUAUCAGGAAUUACAAACUGGCAUGAUUAGAUGUGGUAUUGUUGAGGAUAAUGAAGCUAUGCUUGCACGUUUUAUGGGUGGAUUAAAUAGAGAGAUUCAGACCAUUCUAGACUAUAAGGAUUAUAACAAUAUCACUCGUUUAUUCCAUCUUGCUUGUAAAGCUGAACGUGAAGUGCUGGAUCGACAAGCAUUGGCGCGAACUAACUUUUCUGCAGGUCGACCUUCAUCAUGGACACCGCGUGCAUCUUCUACUUCCACUACACCAGCACCUCCAUCAGGUUCCACCUCCAGCCGUGAUACAAGAAAGCAGGCACAACCACCACUAUCUGCCAAGAGCGCACCUGCCGGGCCUGCACAGAGCUCUUCUUCUUCCAUGGCGUCAACAGGGCACACAAGUGAUAUUAUUUGUCGUCGUUGUAAGGGAAGAGGACAUUUUGCGAGAGAAUGCAAAUCUCAGCGUGUGAUGAUUCCUACUGAGGAUGGUGGGUAUGAGUCCGCUAGUCACUAUGAUGAGGAGACUUUGGCUCUUAUUACACAUGAAGAACACGGUGGAGAUGAUUCUGAUCAUGAGAUGCAAUACAUGGCUGCUGAAGAUGCUGACAGGUAUGAAUGUUUAGUUGCUCAACGUGUUUUGAGUGUGCAGGUUACACAAGCUGAGCAAAAUCAGAGGCAUAAUUUGUUCCAUACAAAGGGAGUUGUGAAGGAACGUUCUAUUCGCGUCAUUAUAGAUGGAGGGAGUUGCAACAACUUGGCUAGCAUGGAGAUGGUGGAGAAGCUAUCUCUCACCGCAAGACCACAUCCACAUCCUUACUACAUCCAAUGGUUCAACAACAGCGGCAAGGUUAAGGUAACACGUACUGUUCGGGUGCAUUUUAGUAUCUCUGCAUAUGCUGAUUAUGUUGAUUGUGAUGUGGUACCUAUGCAAGCAUGUUCCUUAUUACUUGGUAGACCAUGGCAAUUUGAUAAAAAAAUUGUACACCAUGGUAGAAACAAUCAGUAUACUCUUGUUCAUAAGGAUACAAAUAUUACUUUGCUUCCUAUGACUCCGGAUUCCAUUUUGAAAGAUGAUAUUCAUAGAGCUAAUAAAGCAAAACAGGAGAAAAAUAAGAGUGAAAAUCAGAUUGUGGCAAAAGAAUUUGAGCAACAAAUGAAGCCUAAUAAUAAACCAUCUAGUGUUGCUUCUGAAAUUAAAUUGAAAAGUGCAUGUUUACUUGCCACAAAAUCUGAUAUUGAUGAGCUAGUUUUUAGCAAAUCUGUUUGCUAUGCUUUUGUGUGCAAAGAGGCAUUAUUUUCAUUCGAGGACGUGCCUUCCUCUUUGCCCCCUCCAGUCACUAAUAUUUUGCAGGAGUUCGCUAACGUCUUCCCACAAGACGUGCCACCGGGAUUACCACCUAUUCGAGGGAUUGAGCAUCAAAUUGACUUAAUUCCCGGUGCAUCGCUACCCAACCGUGCACCAUACCGUACCAAUCCAGAGGAGACGAAGGAGAUUAUGCGUCAAGUACAGGAGCUGCUCGACAAAGGUUAUAUUCGCGAAUACCUUAGUCCUUGUGCUGUUCCUACUAUUCUAGUGCCAAAAAGGAUGGUACGUCGCGUAUGUGUGUUGAUUGUAGAGGCAUUAAUAAUAUUACUAUUCGUUAUCGUCAUCCUAUUCCUAGGCUAGAUGAUAUGCUUGAUGAAUUGAGUGGCUCUACAAUAUUCUCCAAAGUUGAUUUGCGUAGUGGAUACCAUCAAAUUCGUAUGAAAUUGGGAGAUGAAUGGAAAACAACAUUUAAAAAUAAGUUUGGUUUAUAUGAGUGGUUAGUCAUGCCUUUUGGGUUAACUAAUGCACCUAGUACUUUCAUGCGACUGAUGAACGAAGUUUUACGUGCUUUUAGUGGACGAUUUGUGGUAGUCUAUUUUGAUGAUAUACUGAUUUAUAGCAAAUCUUUGGAAGAACAUUUGGAACAUUUACGUGUUGUUUUUAUUGCUCUACGUGAUGCACGUUUGUUUGGUAACCUUGGGAAGUGCACCUUUUGCACGGACCGAGUAUCUUUUCUUGGCUAUGUUGUUACUCCACAGGGAAUUGAAGUUGAUAAAGCUAAGAUUGAAGCUAUUGAGAGUUGGCCGCAGCCCAAAACGGUCACACAAGUGCGGAGUUUUCUUGGACUUGCUGGUUUCUAUAGGCGUUUUGUGAGAGAUUUUAGCACCAUUGCUGCACCUCUCAACGAGCUUACAAAGAAGGAUGUGCCUUUUGUUUGGGGUACCGCACAGGAAGAAGCCUUCACGGUAUUGAAAGAUAAGUUGACACAUGCUCCUUUACUCCAACUUCCUGAUUUUAAUAAGACUUUAGAGCUUGAAUGUGAUGCUAGUGGAAUUGGAUUAGGAGGUGUGUUAUUACAAGAUGGCAAACCUGUUGCAUACUUUUCUGAAAAAUUGAGUGGGCCUAGUCUGAACUAUUCUACUUAUGAUAAAGAAUUAUAUGCUCUUGUUCGGACUUUAGAAACAUGGCAAUAUUAUUUAUGGCCCAAAGAAUUUGUUAUACAUUCUGAUCAUGAAUCUUUGAAACACAUUAAAAGUCAAGCAAAACUGAACUGUAGACAUGCUAAAUGGGUUGAAUACAUUGAGACUUUCCCUUAUGUCAUUAAACACAAGAAGGGUAAAGAAAAUGUUAUUGCUGAUGCAUUGUCUCGUCGUUAUACUAUGCUUUCACAACUUGACUUUAAAAUAUUUGGUUUGGAGACCAUCAAAGAUCAAUAUGUGCAUGAUGCUGAAUUUAAAGAUGUAUUGCAGAAUUGUAAAGAAGGUAGAACAUGGAACAAGUUCGUCGUUAAUGAUGGAUUUGUGUUUCAUGCUAACAAGCUAUGCAUUCCAGCUAGCUCCGUUCGUCUUUUGUUGUUGCAGGAGGCGCAUGGAGGAGGACUAAUGGGACACUUUGGCGUGAAGAAGACGGAGGAUAUACUUGCUACACAUUUCUUUUGGCCAAAGAUGAGACGGGAUGUUGAGCGUUUUGUUGCUCGCUGCACUACAUGUCAAAAAGCGAAGUCACGACUCAAUCCUCAUGGUUUAUAUAUGCCUUUGCCUGUACCUAGUGUUCCUUGGGAGGAUAUAUCUAUGGACUUUGUUUUAGGUUUACCUCGAACAAAGAAGGGGAGGGAUAGCAUAUUUGUUGUCGUGGAUAGAUUCUCGAAAAUGGCACACUUUAUACCAUGUCAUAAAAGCGAUGAUGUUGUUAAUGUUGCUGAUUUGUUCUUUCGUGAAAUUAUUCGCUUGCAUGGUGUGCCAAAUACUAUUGUUUCAGAUCGUGAUACUAAAUUUCUUAGCCACUUUUGGAGAUGUUUAUGGGCUAAGUUGGGGACUAAACUGCUUUUUAGUAUACUUGUCACCCCCAAACUGAUGGACAAACUGAAGUAGUCAAUAGAACAUUGUCUACUAUGCUUAGGGCUGUUUUGAAGAAUAAUAAGAAAAUGUGGGAAGAAUGCUUGCCUCAUAUUGAAUUUGCUUAUAAUCGUUCAUUGCAUUCUACUACUAAGAUGUGCCCUUUUGAAAUUGUGUAAGGCUUCCUACCUCGUGCACCAAUUGAUUUGUUGCCUCUUCCAUCUUCGGAGAAGGUUAAUUUUGAUGCUAAAGAACGUGCUGAAUUGAUUUUAAAAAUGCAUGAGUUAACUUAGGAAAACAUUGAGCGUAUGAAUGCUAAAUAUAAACUUGCUGGAGAUAAGGGUAGAAAACAUGUUGUGUUUGCACCUGGAGAUCUUGUUUGGUUACAUUUGCGUAAGGAUAGAUUUCCUAAUUUGCGCAAAUCAAAGCUAAUGCCACGUGCUGAUGGUCCUUUUAAGGUGUUAGAGAAAAUAAAUGAUAAUGCAUAUAAACUUGAGCUGCCUGCAGAUUUUAGGAUUAGUCCCACUUUUAACAUUGCAGAUUUGAAGCCUUAUUUGGGUGAGGAAGAUGAGCUUCCGUCGAGGACGACUUCAUUUCAAGAAGGGGAGGAUGAUGAGGACAUCAAUACCAUUGUUACACCCACAGCCCCUACUGUUACAUAUAAUGGACCAAUUACUAGAGCUCGCGCACGCCAAUUAAGUUACCAGGUACUUUCGUUUCUUGGUAAUGAUUCUAAUGUUCAUGAGAAUAUGAUGCUGCCUAAAUUGGAUACUUUUGUUUUCCUUACAAAUGAAGGGCCUAGCUUUGAGAAGGAUGAACAUUGGAGCAAGAACAAGCAUGGAGUUGAUGGCAUGCGCAAGGGGAACAAGAACGGAGUUACAAGUGAUGAUUUCAGGACUUUGAAGCCACCAUAAGGAGUGAAUGAAGCCUUGGACGAAAUAUACAAGAUGCCACUUCAUAAAUUUCGUCCAGAGGCUAUUCUAGGUGCUGCGUCACCUUAUUAUUGGGCUUGGCCCAUGUAAUUUCGAAAUACAUAAGUAUAGGCUGUUUUUAGAGUUCGUAUGUGUGGGGAAACAAGAGAUAGGGUUGGUUUCGGACCCCUUC
RNAcentral lists this long non-coding RNA (7189 nucleotides) under Triticum aestivum (bread wheat). Its description in RNAcentral is "long non-coding RNA (TAES_LNC018003)". The record is from RNAcentral. Lineage: Eukaryota; Viridiplantae; Streptophyta; Magnoliopsida; Poales; Poaceae.